GACGAACGCUGGCGGCGUGCUUAACACAUGCAAGUCGAACGGAAAGGCCCUGCUUUUGUGGGGUGCUCGAGUGGCGAACGGGUGAGUAACACGUGAGUAACCUGCCCUUGACUUUGGGAUAACUUCAGGAAACUGGGGCUAAUACCGGAUAGGAGCUCCUGCUGCAUGGUGAGGGUUGGAAAGUUUCGGCGGUUGGGGAUGGACUCGCGGCUUAUCAGCUUGUUGGUGGGGUAGUGGCUUACCAAGGCUUUGACGGGUAGCCGGCCUGAGAGGGUGACCGGCAACAUGGGAAUUGGGAUACGGCCCGGACUCCACGGGGAGGCAGAGGUGGGGAUUAUGGCAAAAUGGGCGGAGGCCGGAUGCAGCAACGCGGCGGGGGGAAUGCCGGCCUUCGGGUUGUAAACCGUUUUCGCCUGUGCCGAAGCGUGGGUGACGGUAAUGGGUAAAGAAGAACCGCCUAACUACGU
Molecule: ribosomal RNA, 467 nt
Filed under: uncultured bacterium
Lineage: Bacteria
Description: partial 16S ribosomal RNA
Rfam family: Bacterial small subunit ribosomal RNA
Source: RNAcentral